GUCUCAAGACUAAGCCAUGCAUGUCCAAGUAUGAACGCUUCGUACUGUGAAACUGCGAAUGGCUCAUUAAAUCAGUUAUAGUUUAUUUGAUGGUUGCUUGCUACAUGGAUAACCGUGGUAAUUCUAGAGCUAAUACAUGCACAGAGUCCCGACUUCCGGGAGGGACGUAUUUAUUAGAUCCAAAACCAGCGCGGGUCUCCCUUCGGGGUGCCCGGUCCCUGGGCGAUUCAUGAUAACUGCUCGAAUCGCACGGCCCUGGCGCCGGCGAUGGUCCAUUCAAAUUUCUGCCCUAUCAACUUUCGAUGGUACGGUAGUGGCCUACCAUGGUUGCAACGGGUGACGGAGAAUUAGGGUUCGAUUCCGGAGAGGGAGCCUGAGAAACGGCUACCACAUCCAAGGAAGGCAGCAGGCGCGCAAAUUACCCAAUCCCGACUCGGGGAGGUAGUGACAAUAAAUAACAAUGCCGGGCUCUCGUAGUCUGGCAAUUGGAAUGAGUCCAAUCUAAACCCCUUAACGAGGAACAAUUGGAGGGCAAGUCUGGUGCCAGCAGCCGCGGUAAUUCCAGCUCCAAUAGCGUAUAUUAAAGUUGUUGCAGUUAAAAAGCUCGUAGUUGGAUUUCGGGGCGGCCCGGCCGGUCCGCCGCGAGGCGAGCACUGGUCGGGCGCCCUUCCUCUCGAAGGCUUCGACUGCUCUUGAUUGCGGUGGUCGAGGAGUUCGGGACGUUUACUUUGAAAAAAUUAGAGUGUUCAAGGCAGGCCGUCGCCUGAAUACAUUAGCAUGGAAUAAUGGAAGAGGACCUCGGUCCUAUUUUGUUGGUUUCCAGGGCCGAAGUAAUGAUUAAGAGGGACAGUUGGGGGCAUUCGUAUUCAAUUGUCAGAGGUGAAAUUCUCGGAUUUAUGGAAGACGAACAAGUGCGAAAGCAUUUGCCAAGGAUGUUUUCAUUAAUCAAGAACGAAAGUUGGGGGUUCGA
This 970-nucleotide ribosomal RNA is filed under the name Cinachyrella kuekenthali. Its description in RNAcentral is "SSU rRNA". It matches the Rfam family "Eukaryotic small subunit ribosomal RNA", at positions 34 to 1001 of the family's 1831-position model. The record is from RNAcentral. Lineage: Eukaryota; Metazoa; Porifera; Demospongiae; Tetractinellida; Tetillidae.